UGCUCCCGGCGCCCCGAUUGGCUGCCCGCCGCCCCUGCUUCCGGCGAGGCGCUAAUGGCGCCCGCCGAGACGGAAGUGCUGAGCCGGUGGGGGUUGCUAGCCAACGCACUGCCCGCCCCAUCGGGCCGCGGGCGGCUGCACCUCACCGUGCGGGCCCGGCCGGCGGCGUCCCACCGCGGGCAGUGCUCGGCUGCUCCCUCGGCAGAGCCACCGAAGCCGAUAGAGCUCUGCACAGAGGCACGAAGCCGCUGUUUGUCCUUGGGGGUGUUUCUUUUCACAAGCACCAGUGCUCACGGAGGGAAAUAAAACAGCAGUAAAAGAAUAAAUAAAGUAAAUAACGCAGCACUCCACGUAGAGCGUGUUUGUCCUGGAAUUAGCUCUAAGAGUUGUUUAUCCCAAGCAGAACCCAGAGACCUGGAGAGGGAUCAAGACGGAAGAGUUAGGCCGCCUGAGGAGCAAACACGGGGCCCAGGCGGAUGGGCUGUAGUGGUUUCCCAUGAUCCUGGCCCUCCUGCCUUGCUCUCCUUUAUCAGUUCUGGGGGAAGAAUCCUGUUCCCCAACCCUGGCCAGGCCUGUGGAGAGUCACGCAGCGGGAUGUGGAGGAAAACCAGUCAUCCCAGCAGGAGGGGCUGACUUAGCACCAGGAGACCUCGGGACCCAGCAACGGCUUGCGUUCUCACCGUCCUGCUUCAAGCAAGGCGAUGCUCUUGCAACCAUGUGCUUUUGCUCAUUUGUCCCACCCUGAGCAUGUAAAUAAAAUCUGGUUUGACCUGUUUA
Molecule: long non-coding RNA, 777 nt
Organism: Strigops habroptila (Kakapo)
Lineage: Eukaryota; Metazoa; Chordata; Aves; Psittaciformes; Psittacidae
Exons: 2
Source: RefSeq, a predicted model, not a curated record